RNAcentral lists this ribosomal RNA (424 nucleotides) under Microvirga ossetica. RNAcentral describes it as "partial 16S ribosomal RNA". It matches the Rfam family "Bacterial small subunit ribosomal RNA", at positions 355 to 776 of the family's 1533-position model. Lineage: Bacteria; Pseudomonadati; Pseudomonadota; Alphaproteobacteria; Hyphomicrobiales; Methylobacteriaceae. RNAcentral also lists the same sequence under 2 other names. The record is from RNAcentral.
UGAGGAAUAUUGGUCAAUGGGUGCAAGCCUGAACCAGCCAUCCCGCGUGAAGGACGACUGCCCUAUGGGUUGUAAACUUCUUUUGUAUAGGGAUAAACCUACCCUCGAGAGGGUAGCUGAAGGUACUAUACGAAUAAGCACCGGCUAACUCCGUGCCAGCAGCCGCGGUAAUACGGAGGGUGCAAGCGUUAUCCGGAUUUAUUGGGUUUAAAGGGUCCGUAGGCGGACUUAUAAGUCAGUGGUGAAAGCCUGUCGCUUAACGAUAGAACUGCCAUUGAUACUGUAAGUCUUGAGUAUAUUUGAGGUAGCUGGAAUAAGUAGUGUAGCGGUGAAAUGCAUAGAUAUUACUUAGAACACCAAUUGCGAAGGCAGGUUACCAAGAUAUAACUGACGCUGAGGGACGAAAGCGUGGGGAGCGAACAGG